This 576-nucleotide ribosomal RNA is filed under the name uncultured cyanobacterium. Its description in RNAcentral is "bacterial SSU rRNA". It matches the Rfam family "Bacterial small subunit ribosomal RNA", at positions 8 to 629 of the family's 1533-position model. The record is from RNAcentral. Lineage: Bacteria; Bacillati; Cyanobacteriota.
AGAGUUUGAUCCUGGCUCAGGAUGAACGCUGGCGGUCUGCUUAACACAUGCAAGUCGAACGAACUCUUCGGAGUGAGUGGCGGACGGGUGAGUAACGCGUGAGAAUCUACCUGUGGGUCGGGGACAACCACUGGAAACGGUGGCUAAUACCGGAUGAGCCGAAAGGUAAAAGAUUUAUUGCCCACAGAUGAGCUCGCGUCUGAUUAGCUAGUUGGUAAGGUAAAAGCGUACCAAGGCGACGAUCAGUAGCUGGUCUGAGAGGAUGAGCAGCCACACUGGGACUGAGACACGGCCCAGACUCCUACGGGAGGCAGCAGUGGGGAAUUUUCCGCAAUGGGCGAAAGCCUGACGGAGCAAGACCGCGUGGGGGAGGAAGGUUUUUGGAUCGUAAACCCCUUUUGUCAAGGAAGAAGCUCUGACGGUACUUGACGAAUAAGCCUCGGCUAACUCCGUGCCAGCAGCCGCGGUAAUACGGAGGAGGCAAGCGUUAUCCGGAAUGAUUGGGCGUAAAGCGUCUGUAGGUGGCCAGCUAAGUCUGCUGUUAAAGAUCACAGCUCAACUGUGGGAAGGCAGUGG